UGAAUACGAGAUGCUACGGCGUCGAAGCAGUCUAUGUCAUACUUCCAAGAAAAGCUUGCACUGUCAUAAACAAAUAAUGCCUGUACCAUAACCGACACAGGUGGGUAGGUAGAGUAUACUAAGGGGCGCGAGAUAACUCUCUCUAAGGAACUCGGCAAAAUGACUCCGUAACUUCGGGAGAAGGAGUGCCUUAUUUAUAAGGUUGCAAUAACAAGAUCCAAGCAACUGUUUACCAAAAACACAGGUCUCCGCUAAGUCGUAAGACGAUGUAUGGGGGCUGACGCCUGCCCAGUGCCAGAAGGUUAAAGAAGUUGGUUAGCAUCCGCGAAGCUGAUAACUGAAGCCCUGGUGAACGGCGGCCGUAACAAUAACGGUCCUAAGGUAGCGAAAUUCCUUGUCGGGUAGUUCCGACCCGCACGAAAGGCGUAAUGAUUUGGAUACUGUCUCGGAGAGGGGCUCGGUGAAAUAGACUUGUCUGUGAAGAUGCGGACUACCUGCACCAGGACAGAAAGACCCUAUGAAGCUUUACUGUAACCUGAAAUUGAAAUUGGACUUUACUUGCGCAGUAUAGGUGGGAGGCGUUGAGAAUAUUCUUGCGGGAUUAUUGGAGCCAUCAGUGAGAUACCACUCUUGUAAUGUUAGAUUUCUAACUUUGUAUCAUUAUCUGGUCAAAGAACAGUUUCAGGCGGGCAGUUUGACUGGGGCGGUCGCCUCCUAAACGGUAACGGAGGGGCACAAAGGUUUCCUCUGAACGGGUAGAAAUCGUAUCUAGAGUGUAAAGGCAUAAGGAAGCUUGACUGUGAGACCUACAAGUCGAGCAGGGACGAAAGUCGGUCUUAGUGAUCUGACGGUGCUGAGUGGAAAGGCCGUCACUCAACGGAUAAAAGUUACUCUAAGGAUAACUGGCUGAUCUCCCCCAAGAGUUCACAUCGACGGGGAGGUUUGGCACCUCGAUGUCGGCUCAUCGCAUCCUGGGGCGGUAGUACGUCCCAAGGGUUGGGCUGUUCGCCCAUGAAAGCGGUACGCGAGCUGGGUUCAGAACGUCGUGAGACAGUUCGGUCCAUAUCCGGUGUAGGCGUUAGAAUAUUGAGAGGAGCCUUCUUUAGUACGAGAGGACCGAGAAGGACAUACCUCUGGUGUACCAGUUAUCGUGCCAACGGUAAACGCUGGGUAGCUAUGUGUGGAGUGGAUAACCGCUGAAAGCAUCUAAGUGGGAAGCCCACCUCAAGAUAAG
This 1234-nucleotide ribosomal RNA is filed under the name metagenome. RNAcentral's name for it is "bacterial LSU rRNA". It matches the Rfam family "Bacterial large subunit ribosomal RNA", at positions 1564 to 2808 of the family's 2925-position model. The record is from RNAcentral.